CAUGCAAGCCGGCUUAUCGCUCCGAUAAUUAUCGGAGAGGAAAGUCCGGGCAACAUAGAGCAUCGUACUUCCUAACAGGAAGGCCCUCGCGGUUACCGUAAGGGACAGACAGUGCCACAGAAAACAAACUACCUCGCUCCGAUUCCGAUCGGAUUGGGGAAAAGGUGAAAAGGUGGAGUAAGAGCCCACCGCCUUGAUGGCGACAUCAGGGGCAUGGCAAACCUUACGAGUUGAAAGGCCAAAUAGGUCACGCUUACGAAAGUAAUUAGCUGCUCGCUACUAGCGCAAGCUGGCGUGAUUGGGUAGGCUGCUCGAUUCUGAUGGCAACAUCAGAACCAGAUAAAUGAUAGGCAUCACGCCUUGGCGUGAAACAGAACCCGGCUUACAGGCUUGCAUUUUUU
RNAcentral lists this RNase P RNA (401 nucleotides) under Cyclobacteriaceae bacterium. Its description in RNAcentral is "RNase P RNA component class A". It matches the Rfam family "Bacterial RNase P class A". Rfam says of the family: Ribonuclease P (RNase P) is a ubiquitous endoribonuclease, found in archaea, bacteria and eukarya as well as chloroplasts and mitochondria. Lineage: Bacteria; Pseudomonadati; Bacteroidota; Cytophagia; Cytophagales; Cyclobacteriaceae. The record is from RNAcentral.